This 468-nucleotide ribosomal RNA is filed under the name uncultured bacterium. RNAcentral describes it as "partial 16S ribosomal RNA". It matches the Rfam family "Bacterial small subunit ribosomal RNA", at positions 28 to 507 of the family's 1533-position model. The record is from RNAcentral.
GACGAACGCUGGCGGCGUGCUUAACACAUGCAAGUCGAACGGAAAGGCCCUGCUUUUGUGGGGUGCUCGAGUGGCGAACGGGUGAGUAACACGUGAGUAACCUUCCCUUGACUUUGGGAUAACUUCAGGAAACUGGGGCUAAUACCGGAUAGGAGCUCCUGCUGCAUGGUGGGGGUUGGAAAGUUUCGGCGGUUGGGGAUGGACUCGCGGCUUAUCAGCUUGUUGGUGGGGUAGUGGCUUACCAAGGCUUUGACGGGUAGCCGGCCUGAGAGGGUGACCGGCCACAUUGGGACUGCGAUGCGGCCCAGACUCCGACGGGAGGCAGCAGGGGGGAAUAUUGCACAAUGGGCGGAAGCCUGAUGCAGCAACGCCGCGUGCGGGAUGACGGCCUUCGGGUUGUAAACCGCUUUCGCCUGUGACGAAGCGUGAGUGACGGUAAUGGGUAAAGAAGCACCGGCUAACUACGUG